UGGGGAAUAUUGGACAAUGGGCGAAAGCCUGAUCCAGCAAUGCCGCGUGAGUGAUGAAGGCCUUAGGGUUGUAAAGCUCUUUUACCCGGGAUGAUAAUGACAGUACCGGGAGAAUAAGCUCCGGCUAACUCCGUGCCAGCAGCCGCGGUAAUACGGAGGGAGCUAGCGUUAUUCGGAAUUACUGGGCGUAAAGCGCACGUAGGCGGCUUUGUAAGUAAGAGGUGAAAGCCUGGUGCUCAACACCAGAACUGCCUUUUAGACUGCAUCGCUUGAAUCCAGGAGAGGUGAGUGGAAUUCCGAGUGUAGAGGUGAAAUUCGUAGAUAUUCGGAAGAACACCAGUGGCGAAGGCGGCUCACUGGACUGGUAUUGACGCUGAGGUGCGAAAGCGUGGGGAGCAAACA
This 402-nucleotide ribosomal RNA is filed under the name Sphingomonas sp. Its description in RNAcentral is "bacterial SSU rRNA". It matches the Rfam family "Bacterial small subunit ribosomal RNA", at positions 355 to 774 of the family's 1533-position model. RNAcentral also lists the same sequence under 2 other names. Lineage: Bacteria; Pseudomonadati; Pseudomonadota; Alphaproteobacteria; Sphingomonadales; Sphingomonadaceae. The record is from RNAcentral.